Molecule: transfer RNA, 74 nt
Filed under: Candidatus Poribacteria bacterium
Lineage: Bacteria; Candidatus Poribacteria
Description: tRNA-Gln
Rfam family: tRNA
About the family: Transfer RNA (tRNA) molecules are approximately 80 nucleotides in length.
Source: RNAcentral
UGCCGGGUCGUUCAAUGGUAGGACGCGUGGUUUUGGUCCACGUCAUGAGGGUUCGAAUCCUUCCCCGGCAACCA